RNAcentral lists this unclassified non-coding RNA (378 nucleotides) under uncultured delta proteobacterium. Its description in RNAcentral is "contains 16S-23S intergenic spacer region". The record is from RNAcentral. Lineage: Bacteria; Deltaproteobacteria.
UCCGGCUUAACACCAGCAGUCCCCCUAGAGUGCCCAACUUAAUGAUGGCAACUAAGGGCGAGGGUUGCGCUCGUUGCGGGACUUAACCCAACACCUCACGGCACGAGCUGACGACAGCCAUACAGCACCUGAACCGGCAGUCCCCGAAGGGAAAACCUCAUUUCUGAAACGGUCCACCGUUGUCUAGCCCAAGUAAGGUUCUUCGCGUUGCGUCGAAUUGAACCACAUGCUCCACCACUUGUGCGGGCCCCCGUCAAUUCCUUUGAGUUUUAAUCUUGCGACCGUACUCCCCAGGCGGGGCACUUAAUGCGUUAGCUGCGGCACCCAGGGGAUCAAUACCCCGGACACCUAGUGCCCAUCGUUUACAGCGUGGACUAC